UGGAUAUGAAUGUAAGAACACA
Molecule: microRNA, 22 nt
Filed under: Callorhinchus milii (elephant shark)
Lineage: Eukaryota; Metazoa; Chordata; Chondrichthyes; Chimaeriformes; Callorhinchidae
Description: eshark_NOVEL_20
Source: RNAcentral